UAAAGCUUAAUUAUUAAAUUACCUAUAAUUCCUUACACCACCUCUAACCCUUCAUUACUACUGAAUUAUUUUAUAAAAUUAUAAAAAAUAUUAUGCUAGAACUAGUAACAAGAAAUUGAUUUUCUCCAAAAUGUAAAUGUAAGCCAAAAUGGACUAACCAUUGACAAUUAACGUCUAUGACCAAAUUAUAGUAUCCAUGACCAGAAUACCCUAUAACCCUCAAACGUUAACCUUACACCAGAACAUUCCAGGAAAGAUUAAAAGAGAAAGAAGGAACUCGGCAAAUCAUAGCCCCGCCUGUUUACCAAAAACAUCGCCUCUUGAUAAAUUAUAAGAGGUCCAGCCUGCCCAGUGACAAAGUUCAACGGCCGCGGUACCCUAACCGUGCGAAGGUAGCAUAAUCACUUGUUCUUUAAAUAAGGACUUGUAUCAAAGGCACCACGAGGGCUACACUGUCUCCUUUCUCCAAUCAGUGAAACUGAUCUUCCCGUGAAGAAGCGGGAAUUUAUUUAUAAGACGAGAAGACCCCAUGGAGCUUUAAACCCAUCAUACACCUCUGUUUAUUCACGCCAUGAUAACCUAAAAGACUUGUAUGCUGGUUUUAGGUUGGGGGGACCACGGAGUAUAACUUAACCUCCACGACAAAUGGGCCAAGCCCUUAUUUGAGAACCACAAUUCUAGAAAUCAAUAAACUGAUGUUUAAUGACCCGAACUAUCGAUCAACGAACCAAGUUACCCUGGGGAUAACAGCGCAAUCUACUUUAAGAGCCCCUAUCGACAAGUAGGUUUACGACCUCGAUGUUGGAUCAGGGUAUCCCAGUGGUGCAGCCGCUACUAAAGGUUCGUUUGUUCAACGAUUAAAACC
RNAcentral lists this ribosomal RNA (865 nucleotides) under Meristogenys kinabaluensis (Kiau Borneo frog). RNAcentral's name for it is "partial 16S rRNA". It matches the Rfam family "Bacterial large subunit ribosomal RNA", at positions 1482 to 2595 of the family's 2925-position model. Lineage: Eukaryota; Metazoa; Chordata; Amphibia; Anura; Ranidae. The record is from RNAcentral.